This 469-nucleotide ribosomal RNA is filed under the name uncultured bacterium. RNAcentral's name for it is "partial 16S ribosomal RNA". It matches the Rfam family "Bacterial small subunit ribosomal RNA", at positions 28 to 507 of the family's 1533-position model. The record is from RNAcentral.
GACGAACGCUGGCGGCGUGCUUAACACAUGCAAGUCGAGCGGAAAGGCCCUGCUUGCAGGGUGCUCGAGUGGCGAACGGGUGAGUAACACGUGGGUGAUCUGCCCCUUACUUUGGGAUAAGCCUGGGAAACUGGGUCUAAUACUGGAUAGGACCAUGCUGUAGGUGGUGUGGUGGAAAGAUUAGUUUCGGUAAGGGAUGAGCUCGCGGCCUAUCAGCUUGUUGGUGGGGUAAUGGCCUACCAAGGCGUCGACGGGUAGCCGGCCUGAGAGGGUGGACGGCCACAUUGGGACUGAGAUACGGCCCAGACUCCUACGGGAGGCAGCAGAGGGGAAUAUUGCACAAUGGGCGCAAGCCUGAUGCAGCGACGCCGCGUGGGGGAUGACGGCCUUCGGGUUGUAAACUCCUUGCAGCCAUGACGAAGCCCUUGUGGUGACGGUAGUGGUAGAAGAAGCACCGGCUAACUACGUG